Molecule: long non-coding RNA, 6762 nt
Filed under: Gossypium barbadense (sea-island cotton)
Lineage: Eukaryota; Viridiplantae; Streptophyta; Magnoliopsida; Malvales; Malvaceae
Description: long non-coding RNA (GBAR_LNC006511)
Source: RNAcentral
GCCUUACAACGUAACCGAAUUCUAAUAUAAUAAUUUAGCCAUUUUUGCAUGGCUUAGAUUACACAUAACUAAAAAUCCAACUUUACAAAACAUAUUCCAGCCUAUACAUGCCAUAAUUCAAGUUCGAAUAUUUAAGUAUCGAAGUUGUAGAUAGUGUGAUAGACUUUGCUGACAAUCCCCGAGCUUGUAACUUGAAUCCAAAAUCUAUAAAAUAAGAUACACAUAAAAACACAGAGUAAGCUUUUGAAGCUUAGUAAGUUAUAAGCAAUUUAGCUUCCCAAUAAAAUUAUCAACUUAUUCAAAUCAAACUAAAUUAUAAAAUCAUAACCUUUCAGAUCCAAAUAUUUAUAAUUCAUUAUAAAUAUAUAUUUUCACACUCAAAUGUCACACUGGCCUAACAUUCAUGAAUUAUUGUAACUAAUUAAUUCAUUAUAAAUAUAUAUUUAUCACUAUUAUCAUUUAUUUCCCACAACUAAUUAAUUAUUGUAACUUACUUCACAUAUCCAGAAGCAUAUAGACUCAUGUGUAGUUGCAUUGUUUCAUAUAUAUAUGCUAAUUAUGAAGUCGAACACUUAUAGUCAUGCAUGUCUAAUACUAAGUUUCAUUUCAAUAAUAAUUACAAGGCCGAUUACACUUGAAUACUUAAACCCCUGUAUCAAUAUAUACUUAAACCCCUGUAUCAAUAUAAUUCAUCAUAUUCAUAUAUUAGAUAUGUAACCGACAUAUAUGCACAUGAUUAAAGAUUAUUCAUGAUACAUAAGCUACUGACUCACAAAGUCUACUACACAUAUCACAUUCGCAUAUAUCCUUUAUUUGCACCAUUUCAAGGUUUGCAAAAAUAACAAGGUACUUACUUGCUUUACCUUAAAUAGAUAAUGAGUUAAUUCAUACUUGGCAUAUGGCUCAUUUUACACAUUCAAACUCAAUUUACCUUUGCCCGAUGAACCAUUCAGAAUUGGAUAGGACACUCGGAUAAUCUCACAAAUCAUACAAUGCUAACGUCCCAAACAUGGUCUUACAUGUAGUCACAUAUCGAUGCCACUGUCCCAGAUAGGUUCUUACUCGUAAACACAUAUCAAAAUCACAUAUCGAUGCCAACGUAUGAAACGUGGACUUACUCACACGCAUAUAUCAGAAUCACAUAUUGAUGCCAACGUAUUAAACGUGGACUUACUCGCACAAGUAUAUCGGAAUCACAUAUUGAUGCCAACGUAUUAAACGUGGUCUUACUCGCACACAUAUAUCGAUGCCACAUAUCGAUGCCACAUAUUCUUCCAGGUAUCAACUUUAAAAAUCGGCCAAAUUAUGCAUAAGUUCAUUAACAAAAUUAUCAUUCAUAAUCAAAGUCACAUUAUCAUUAAAUAUUCAAUUAUAUAUAUACAAUUAACCAUGAUUCACAUUUUAAUAUCACAUACAUAUUUCAUUUAGCCGAAUACAGACUUGUAAUUAAUAUACAAUUAAUCUACAUUUUAACAUAUAUAAUUCAUGUCAUCACUUCAAAUACUAAAUUUAUUCAUUACUUAUCAUCAAACAUAGAUUAUUUUCAUUUUCAAUAUCGAUUCAUAAUUUAAUUUUAAUCAAUAUAACUACCAAUUAAUCACAUAUAUUGAAAUUUAACAUAUUCUAUUUACUUAUAAACUUACCUCGAAUGACAUAAAACGGAACGGGACAGCUAGUCGACGACUUUCAUUUUCCCCUGAUCCAAAUCUGAUUUCUUUGGUUCUUGAUCUAAACAUAUUCAGAUUAAGCUCGUUCAAAUAUAUUUUCAUUCAAUUUAGUCCAAAGACAUAUAAAUGGGCAAAUUACCAUUUUACCCCUACUUUUUACAAUUUAGUCCCUAUUGUACAAAACACAAAAUAUGCAAAAUUUCAAUAUACCCAUGUUUGGCCGAAUAUUCCUAGUAUUCAUACAAGUCCAUAUAUUUCAUUUAUUUCACAUUUUAGUCCCUCAAAUUAUUAUUUUUGUAAUUUAGUCCUAAUUACUCAAAAUCAUCAAAAACUCCAAUACAAAAUAUGUUAAUCUAAAACAUAUCUUUUAUAUUUCAUCAUUAAACAACAAAAAUCACAAGCUUUCAACAAUGGCAUAACUCAAAAUAUUCACCAAAAUAAAAAAUUCAAGAAUGGGUUUUGUAGUACUCAAAGCAACGAUCUCAAAAACGUAGAAAUUAUCAAAAACAAAGCUAAACACACACCUCAAUCAAGCUUGUUUAUGGCUGAACUAGGUUUUCCUUUCUUUUUUUUCUUUCUUAUUUUUGGUUUCGGUCAAAAGAAUAAGAUGAGCAUGGCUUAUUAUUAUUUUAUGAUAUAUAUAUUAUAACAGAUAUUAAUUUAAUGUUUAAUUACUUAUAUAAUAUAAAACAAUGUAAUUUAUGUCUUAUGCCGUCCCACUAAUAUAUUAAUGGGAUAUUUACAACAUAAAUGCCCCAACUUAGAAAGCCACUAACAAUUUGGCCCUUAUGUUUUAAACUAUCAAGUUUUCAAUUUACGCGAUUAAGUCCUUUUAUUUAAUCGGAUACCUAACCGACAAAAUUAAAUCACUAAAAUUUCACAGAUAUAAAUUCACACAAAAUAAACACAGAAAAUAAUUUUUAAAUAUUUUUCUGACUCAGAUUCAUGGUCUCGAAACCACCGUUCUGAUUAGGGUCUAAAUUGGGCUGUUACACAACAUCCAUGAACCUAAGAGUAUUAAAAUCAAAAUAAUCAUUUAAAACAUCAUGAUAAUAAUCAACCAACAAUUCUACCACAUUGUCAUAUUCGCACAAUUCAAAAAUAAUAACAAUAAUAUAACCUUCUCAAACACUAAGCCCAACUAGGAUCACUUUCUUGGAAUUCCGCACCGCCCACACCGGAAACACUAACUAUCUGCAAAGGUUCAGAAAAGAGUGUGUGAGCUUAAACAAGCUCAGUGAAUGAUAAAGAAAAAACUAACAAUAAACAUGAUAUCAUACAUUAAAUGAGAACAUCUAAUUGGGUAUCAAUAUUUCUCAAAAUGGGGAUCGAUACCGUUUGGAAAAUCAGAACCUUUUUAACAUUCUAAUCUUCUUCAAAAUCCAAAACCCAACAAUUUAUCAAUACAAUUCAAAAGUAUCUAUAUUUUUACCUCGAGUGUUGAUACUCGAGAACUGGUAUCAAUACCAAAAUGAGCAACUGUUUCCUACACAUUUGUUUCAACUCAGAAGUAUCGAUACAUAUGCCCUGAUUAUCGAUACCUCUGCAUAAUUCUACAAAAAUUCAAGCAAAAUAGGGCAUUCUACAUACUUAAUCACAUACCACUUCAACAUGCAUCCAUAACUUCAAUAUUAAACAUCAAAAUGUCCAUAUUCUCAGUCCAUAGCAAUAUAAAUAAUUUUAACCAACCAAACCAAUAAACUAAUAACAACGUCUAGGAACCUAAGAGUAUUAAAAUCAAAAUUAUCAUUUAAAUUAUCAUGAUAAUAAUCAACCAAGAAUUUUACCACAUUGUCUUAUUCCUACAGUUCAAAAAUAAUAACAAUAAAAUCACAUACUUAAACACUAAGCCUAACUUGGAUCACUUCCUUGGAAUUUUGCACCGCCCACACUAAAAACACUAACUAUCUGCAAAGGUUCAAAAAAGAGUGUGUGAGCUUAAACAAGCUUAGUGAAUGAUCAGGAAAAAACUACCAAUAAACAUGAUAUCAUACAUUAUAUGAGAACAUCUAAAUGGAAAUCGACAUUUCUCAAAAUGGGUAUCGAUACCGUUUGGAAAACUGGAACCUUUUUACCAUUCUGAUCUUCUUCAAAAUCCAAAACCUAACAAUUUAUCGAUGCAAUUCAAAAGUAUUUAUAUUUUUACCCUAAGUAUCGAUACUCGAGAACUGAUAUCGAUAGAAAAAUGAGCAACUAUUUCUUGCACAUACGUUUCAAUUCAGAAGUAUUGAUACAUAUGCCCUGAUUACUGAUACCUCCGUAUAAUUCUGCAAAAAUUCCAGAAAAAUAGGGCACUCCACAUACUCAAUCACAUACCACGUCAAUAUCAAUAAUUUCAAUAUUAAACAUCAAAAUGUCCAUAUUAGAAUUCCAUAGCAAUAUCAAUAAUUUCAACCAAGCAAACCAAUAAACUAAUAACAACCUCCACGAACCUAAGAGUAUUAAAAUCAAAAUAAUCAUUUAAAAAAUCAUGCUAAUAACCAACAGACAAUUCUACCACAUUGUCUUAUUCCUACUGUAGCACCCCAAACCUGGCCCAGAAGUUAUGGCCGGAUCCGGCAUGCCACAUCAAAAACAUAAAAAAAAAUUUCCAUUCUAAGUCCAGAAAAUCGUACUUGAUGUUCAAAAGAUUAAUUCAUUAAAGGUUAAAGUGAAUGGAAGCUGUGCACCAGGUAGGAAACCGAAAAAGAGGUGGUGAGUCCAUCGGACUGCUUAAGUACCAAGCUCCCUUCGGAUCCAAUCCUAGACAUGCAUACCGCCAUUACCACACCUUAACGUCAUGGAUAUUUCUAGGAAACCGAUUUGAUUAAGUCAUUUUUAGGAAAAGUGAUUAAUUUUGGAAAAUACUUUCAUUGCGGAAGCUUUACUUGUUGUCGUGUUAUUUUGAAAUCAAUUGUUGUUUUUGAAAACGCGCCCUAAAGCUAUCUAAUUUCAACAGUUAAAAUAAGUAUUACCUAUUUUAGUAAUACAUAUUAAAACCAUCAAAAAUAAUUAAGCGGCCUUAUUACAUUUAAAAGCCCAAAAACUUCAAACGUAAAUAAAAGGAUGUCCAGUUCACCAGAAGAAAAUCAAACUUUCAGAACGGGUGGCCACUCCGAAUUCCCUCACAGCUCCAAGCCCACUAUGGUUGGGGAUUUCCUGCAUGGAUGAAAAUAAAAGGGGUGAGUUUGGGGAAACUCAGUGUGUAAGGAAAACUCAUUCAAAGCCCAAGUCAGCUCAAGCCCAUUGGGCCUAAGCCCAUUCAGGUAACAGUGGUACUGGGCCAGAGCCCUUUUCAGAUUACAAUAAACUGGGCCUUAGCCCCUUAUUCAGAUAACAGUAUGGCCCAUAGGCCCAUUUCAAAAUACAUGCAACAUCAGUAAACAUAUGCAAGCCCAUUUGGGGAGACUACUCAACCCACCAACCACUACACUCCACCCGUACCAGCCAUACACUCCAUGUGGGGAAUAGCUCAACCCACCCAGCCCAACACUCCACAGUUGCAGCCUUGCUGCUCAGUUAACAGUAAAUUGAGGCAAAGCCUCCAGUAUGUGGACAAGCCACUUUUAGUACUUCCUCCGUCAAUAUCCCAAUCCCAUGCAUCAAAUAAUAACAACAUGGCAUGCAGUAAAUAACAACAGUCAAACAUGCAUUUAAGUCAAUUUAACCCUAGGGGUAUUUCGGUAAUUUAUCUCCUAGGGGUAAAACUGUAAAUUUUCCACUUUUAAAGGUAUUUCAGUAAUUUAUCUAUUUUAGGGUUUUUCAUGAAUAUUCCUACUUUUCACGUACUACAGAAUCACGUACCGAGGGUUCUUACCGAAUUGGGCCCGUUGGCCCAUCAUUCCAAUUUUGGCCCAUUAAGCCCAAAAAUAUCUAGGGCACAGAAAUCAUGCACUUUGCAGUCCAAAUUUUGCAGCUUACCAAAAACAUUAAUCGAUUUACCUCACGAGCAUUCACACACUCGCAAAUCUACAAAAUACCGGUUUUCGGCAUUUCAGCUUUUCGACUUUUUCCGAUCCAGACUAAGAAAGAGGGUGUUAGUUACACACCUGUUUGCGAUGAUAUGCUGACGAGAUCCACACACGAACCGCCUACAAUUGGAUUACUAACACGUUAAUCUAACUAUUCAAAUACGAACUACGUAUUAACCCCUUACAAUAUUCGGCCAACCACACCUACAGAUCAUAGUAAGCUUAUAAGAAAACAAUAAGCAACUCAUUAACCAAUUUUUGUCAAUGUUUACCACAUAAUCAUAAUUUCACUGCAAGCUGUCUUCCUGAGCGACAGUCACUAAAUCAUUUAUAACUGGAGCUAUGAAACUCCAAAUCAAGUGCCGUUAAUUUUCCAUAAAAAUAGACUCAUAUAUCUUCUAUCCAUAAAAUUUUCAGAAUUUUUAGUUUGGCCAAUCAAUACCAGAUUUUUCUCAAAGUUUCGCAUGUUUCACUAUUUGACUAAUCUGACCACUCUUCAUUACGAAUCAAAUUUCUCAUUGUACAGAAUUCAAAAUAUGUUCUCGUUUAUUCCAUUUGAAACUAGACUCAUUAAGCUUUAAUUACAUAAUUUAUUCAGCUUAUAACUCAUCUCCCACAAUUUAUGGUGAUUUUCCAAAGUCACGUUACUGCUGCUGUCCCAAGCAGAUUUAUUACCAAAUCACUCUUUCACACAUAACUUGCAUGCAUGUUAUUUAAACAUGUACAUCACCAAUCAAUCAUCACAUAUCUAUGAGUUUACUUAAGUAUAGUCUCCAUUUCAUCAUUCUAAAGCACAACAUAUUAGCCGAUUUUUCCCCUUAGCAACUAAGGCACAUGCAUGCUUAUUUGUUUGGCUCAACUUCACCUAUCUUCCAUUUUUCAUCAAAAGAACAUGAAACAACAACCAUUCCCUUCAUUUUAAUUCAUGACCAAAUGCUCACAACACAACCAAAAACCAAAAUAUGCUUCAAGAGUUAAGGUAGAAUCAAGAAGAACUCAUGAACCUCAAAAUAGAAACAAGGUACCAAGAACUUACCUUCAAUUUUCCUCCUCCUAAUGACCAAAUACUCAAGAGCUUUCUCCUCUCCUUUCUCUUCUCUAACUUUCAGCUAUGAUGAACAAAGAUGGACAAAACUUUGUUCUUU